CUGGACUCAGGAUGAACGCUAGCGGCAGGCUUAACACAUGCAAGUCGAGGGGCAGCGGGAUGUAGCAAUACAUUGCCGGCGACCGGCGGAUGGGUGCGUAACGCGUAUGCAACCUACCUUAUACAGGGGAAUAACCUUUCGAAAGGGAGACUAACACCCCAUGGUAUUGAUUUAAGGCAUCUUAGAUUAAUUAAAUAUUUAUAGGUAUAAGAUGGGCAUGCGUAUGAUUAGCUAGUUGGUAAGGUAACGGCUUACCAAGGCGACGAUCAUUAGGGGUUCUGAGAGGAAGGUCCCCCACACUGGUACUGAGACACGGACCAGACUCCUACGGGAGGCAGCAGUGAGGAAUAUUGGUCAAUGGGCGCAAGCCUGAACCAGCCAUGCCGCGUGCAAGGAAGACGGCCUUAUGGGUUGUAAACCGCUUUUACAUAAGACUAACCGUAUAUUUGCGAAUAUACCUGAAUGUAUUAUGAGAAUAAGGAUCGGCUAACUCCGUGCCAGCCGCAGC
RNAcentral lists this ribosomal RNA (508 nucleotides) under uncultured bacterium. RNAcentral describes it as "bacterial SSU rRNA". It matches the Rfam family "Bacterial small subunit ribosomal RNA", at positions 18 to 518 of the family's 1533-position model. The record is from RNAcentral.